This is a long non-coding RNA of Amborella trichopoda, 1430 nucleotides long. RefSeq lists it as uncharacterized. The record is from RefSeq and is a predicted model, not a curated record. Lineage: Eukaryota; Viridiplantae; Streptophyta; Magnoliopsida; Amborellales; Amborellaceae.
UCUCUGAUCUCAAUCUCCCUGGUCUCUCUUUAAUCUGUUUUUCUGUGUAAGCACCUCGGCCCAAAAAUCUCUGCCAUUGGUGCCCUGCUCCUUUUCUGGUCUCUCUAAAACUGUUGCUCUUCUCUCUUGAUUUCUAUACUCUCGCUAUUUUCUCUGUUCUCCAUUUUUUCUCUCAAUCUCUAAGAUCUCUCCCAAUCUCUCUCAGACUUCUCCACUUUCUCUCUCUCAUGCUAUUUUUCCCUCAAAUCUUUAUCUACUAAUCUCUCAAUCUAUCUCUUGUUACUUUCUCUCUCUCACCAUUUUUCCCUCAUAUCUCUCUGACCACUCAUUACUUUCUCUCUCUCACACAAUGUUUUUCCCUCAUCUCUCGCUAUUGAUCUCUCUCUCUCAUGCUAUUUUGGGGGAAGGGUUUCUCUUCAAGUGAGGGUCUUGGGUUUGCUUUGUUGGCCACAUUGUGGAUGGAACUCUCUCUCUCUAGGAUCUUGAAGCCCGCUUGCUUCAUGACUUUCUUUCUCUAGGGAUCUUGAAGCAUAUCUACUUCCUGACUCUCUCUCUCUAGGGAUCUUGAAGCCUGUCUGCUUCAUGCCUUGGGUCAUUGUCUCAUAGGGAUCCUUGGAUCUCUAUCUCUCUGGGCAGGCAGGUGGAUUGGUUCUCUCUCGAAGAUCUUGGGUUCAUGGUGGAUUGAAUCUGGUCCAGUAGUUUGGGUAUUCCUCAGGUCUCUCUCUCUAGGCAAGAAGCUAAAAUAUGCUUCAGAGAUUGGUUCUCAAGCUCGACUCCAUAAUGAUACAAAGAAAGUUGAUAUCCCUCUUGAAGUCAAUGCCAAAUUUCGAGUUACAGACGAAAAAACUCUUCCUAACCCAACCUUUCAUAGGCAAUUGGUUGGAAACCUGAUAUAUCUGACAAUUUCACUCCCUGAUAUUGCUUAUGCAGUACAUAUGGAAAUCAGAGUGAUCACAAAUCUGCCACAUGAUUCUACAUUUUCUUCGGUGAUUCUCUUAUAUCUUUGAAAAACAAGAAACAGAAACAAAUUGCUCAAUCAACUACUGAAGCUGAAUACCAGGCUAUGGCAUAAACCACCACUGAGAUUUUGGCUAUGUUAGCUGCUUGCAGACGUAGAUAUCACUAUCUCAACUCCUACUCCACUUUAUUGUGAGAACAAGAGUGCCAUUUAUAUUUCUAAAAAUCUGGAAUUUCAUGAGCGAGCGAAACAUGUUGAAGUCCAUUGCCACUAUGUUAGACAAGAACAUCUCUUAUGCACAAUUUCCUUACCAUAUGUGACCACCGCAACACAACUCGCCGAUUUCUUCACUAAGUUUCAUCAUCUAUAUUCUUUUCUCACAGUUUGUUUCCAAACUUUUCAUGAUUCCUUUCAAAUAAUCUCGAGUUUGAGGGGGAGUAUGAACAGACAUGGUAAUAUAACAAAUAUGGCA